This 127-nucleotide unclassified non-coding RNA is filed under the name uncultured Ophiostoma. Its description in RNAcentral is "sequence contains ITS1". The record is from RNAcentral. Lineage: Eukaryota; Fungi; Ascomycota; Sordariomycetes; Ophiostomatales; Ophiostomataceae.
CCGAGUUUUCUACAACUCCCAACCCUUGCGAACCGUACCCCAGUCUGUUCUCGUUGCUUCCGGCGGGCCCUCUGAACCUUUUUUUAAGACAACUAGACCUUCUGAGCAAAAACAAACAAAUACAUUA